This 262-nucleotide ribosomal RNA is filed under the name Myroides marinus. RNAcentral describes it as "partial 16S ribosomal RNA". It matches the Rfam family "Bacterial small subunit ribosomal RNA", at positions 599 to 863 of the family's 1533-position model. Lineage: Bacteria; Pseudomonadati; Bacteroidota; Flavobacteriia; Flavobacteriales; Flavobacteriaceae. The record is from RNAcentral.
AUUUCCUAGCUUAACUAGGGCACUGCCCAUGAUACUGUUUAACUUGAAUAGUAUGGAAGUAACUAGAAUAUGUAGUGUAGCGGUGAAAUGCUUAGAUAUUACAUGGAAUACCAAUUGCGAAGGCAGGUUACUACGUACUUAUUGACGCUGAUGAACGAAAGCGUGGGGAGCGAACAGGAUUAGAUACCCUGGUAGUCCACGCCGUAAACGAUGGAUACUAGCUGUUCGGUCUUCGGAUUGAGUGGCUAAGCGAAAGUGAUAA